GAGAAGAGAAGAGAAGAGAAGAAAAGAAAAGAAAAGAAAAGAAAAGAAAUGCAGCCAGAAGCUUUGUACAACUGUGGAGACUUCCCUUCUAGAAAUCUUUCCUUUUGUUCCUCUCAGGGUUCAAGCAGUUUCCAUCCAUCUCCUGGAAGCAACUGCAGGAAAACCCACUCAGAUCACAUAAGGAAAGGGGAUAAGAAGACAGAAUCUUAUUUGCUAUAGGAUUUUAAAAACUUCCUCUAAACUGUCAUCGAUAGCAUUGUUCAUCCCCAGAAACUGGCCUUUUAAGGAGGAGCCCUCAAAAUAGUGUUCCUCCCUCCAACGUUCUUACCAGAGUGGGAAGACCUACCCAGUAGCUGUCCUGAAAUAGAAUCUGGAUGACAACGUGACUUGAACUGAGAUUAAAGAAGACCAAUGUGGGUAAGAGGACCCCUAUUGCUGAAGCAGUCGUGUCCAAUGGACUAGGCAGAUGAAGUCUCCGCUAAACCAUCAGAUCAAGAAACGAGCUUCCUCCACAUAAAUGGACUUGACCAUGGCUACAUCAUUAAAUCCCUGGCCACAUAACACGUGCUUGAGAAGAAAGCUUGCAUGUGCCAGGGCACCUCAUCAGUCAACCAAGCCUGGAAAGAAACUGACAUGCACCUUUGCUCUUUGGA
Molecule: non-coding RNA, 653 nt
Organism: Phascolarctos cinereus (koala)
Lineage: Eukaryota; Metazoa; Chordata; Mammalia; Diprotodontia; Phascolarctidae
Source: RefSeq, a predicted model, not a curated record